Molecule: small nucleolar RNA, 132 nt
Organism: Mastomys coucha (southern multimammate mouse)
Lineage: Eukaryota; Metazoa; Chordata; Mammalia; Rodentia; Muridae
Product: small nucleolar RNA SNORA17
Exons: 1
Source: RefSeq, a predicted model, not a curated record
CCUGCCUCUAGAAGCAUUGAAGGUAUGACUGCUGUGUCACAUGUUGCAUCAGUAGGUGACAGAGAAGAGAAAGGCUGUCAACCAGUUAGUGUUCUGACCUAUGAACACCUGAAUAAUUAGUAGCCUAACAUU